CAAGACCUUGCGCUCUUAGAGCGGCCGAUGUCUGAUUAGCUAGUUGGUGAGGUAAAGGCUUACCAAGGCGACGAUCAGUAGCUGGUCUGAGAGGACGACCAGCCACACUGGGACUGAGACACGGCCCAGACUCCUACGGGAGGCAGCAGUGGGGAAUUUUGGACAAUGGGGGAAACCCUGAUCCAGCCAUGCCGCGUGAGUGAAGGAGGCCUUCGGGUUGUAAAGCACAUUCAGCCGGAACGAAAAGGUCACGGCUAAUACCUGUGAUCACUGACGGUACCGGAAGAAGAAGCACCGGCUAACUACGUCCCAGCAGCCGCGGUAAUACGUAGGGUGCAAGCGUUAAUCGGAAUUACUGGGCGUAAAGCGUGCGCAGGCGGCAUUGUAAGUCAGAUGCGAAAUCCCCGGGCUUAACCUGGGAACA
RNAcentral lists this ribosomal RNA (424 nucleotides) under uncultured Nitrosomonas sp. Its description in RNAcentral is "bacterial SSU rRNA". It matches the Rfam family "Bacterial small subunit ribosomal RNA", at positions 207 to 622 of the family's 1533-position model. The record is from RNAcentral. Lineage: Bacteria; Pseudomonadati; Pseudomonadota; Betaproteobacteria; Nitrosomonadales; Nitrosomonadaceae.